Long non-coding RNA from Zingiber officinale, 1021 nucleotides. RefSeq lists it as uncharacterized. Lineage: Eukaryota; Viridiplantae; Streptophyta; Magnoliopsida; Zingiberales; Zingiberaceae. The record is from RefSeq and is a predicted model, not a curated record. The transcript has 4 exons.
AGCGCCCAAACUACUAGCAACCCAUUCUUUUCUCUAACCCUAGUGGCGCUCCCUCGUUCUAUUUUCCAGCGAUUCAUCGGUGAACACUACCAAUCUCUUCUCUUUUUUUUUCCGAUGCCCUUCACACCUCUUUUUCCCUGAUUCUUAAAGGAGAUGGAGUGGCGGAACAUGACGGCAAGGGAGCAGCAGCGUCGACGGAGGAUGUUGAUGAAGGUGCGGAGGAGGUGGAUGAAGUGGAAGAGGUAGAAGGCGUAGGACCAGAAGAAGACGCGGUUGGAGGGGCGGGUGCUGAGGGGGAAAUAGAGGAACUGCUACAUUGGGGUGGUGCAGGAGCGAUCGCGUCGUUACCAAUAGGCGAGGGAUGCGGGACGCGUUCUUCCAAUCUUGAUCUCAGUCCCAUGGCGGAUGGUGGACUCGGAAUUCCUUAAAAAAUUAGGUUAGAUCCCUUUGAAUGUUCAAAACCAUAUGAUGCUUGUACAAAUCAAGGCCUUUUCCCAUAUGAACAUUGGUAGAUUUUUGACGAUGAUUGGUUGCUUUGUUAGCAUUCAUGUGGAUGCUUUCCAUGCCCCCAUAUGAAGAGAAGAAGAGGUUUGGGCUUCUGAUUAUAGUAUUGGUUUUUGAGGGGGCUUCCAUUGGCCCUUUGAUUGAGCGUGCCAUUGAGGUUGACAAUAGGCAUAGUAACAUUAUAUUAUGAGGUAAGAAACACCUUUUUGAAGAGAGAAGUGGUUGAUACCUUGAAUGGGAUUCAAAAAUACAAGAAUGGACAAAAACUGGUUACACUAUUAUGUCAGAUGGCUGGACUGAUCAAAGAAAGAGAACAAUGUUUGAUGAAACACCUAGUGAAUUGCUUGGAAAGAGAAAACAAGCCAAUCAAAUGCAAAGCUUUCACUUGGUUAAUGAAGAAGAGAAUGAAAAUGGUUUGAAUGUGAUCAAUGAAGAUGUUCAAAUGUCAAAAGUGGAUGAACCUAUUAAAACUAUUGGCCACAAUGAAGAUUAUGGACUUGGUGAUGAUUGUUAUGAA